RNAcentral lists this small nuclear RNA (18 nucleotides) under Arabidopsis thaliana (thale cress). RNAcentral describes it as "snRNA_17896". Lineage: Eukaryota; Viridiplantae; Streptophyta; Magnoliopsida; Brassicales; Brassicaceae. The record is from RNAcentral.
GUUAAGUUAGGUCGCGUU